Molecule: ribosomal RNA, 253 nt
Filed under: uncultured bacterium
Lineage: Bacteria
Description: partial 16S ribosomal RNA
Rfam family: Bacterial small subunit ribosomal RNA
Source: RNAcentral
UACGUAGGGUGCAAGCGUUGUCCGGAAUUAUUGGGCGUAAAGAGCUCGUAGGCGGUUUGUCACGUCGGAUGUGAAAACCUGAGGCUCAACCUCAGGCCUGCAUUCGAUACGGGCAGACUAGAGUACUGUAGGGGAGACUGGAAUUCCUGGUGUAGCGGUGAAAUGCGCAGAUAUCAGGAGGAACACCGGUGGCGAAGGCGGGUCUCUGGGCAGUAACUGACGCUGAGGAGCGAAAGCGUGGGGAGCGAACAGG